GAUGAAGAACGCAGCGAAAUGCGAUAAGUAAUGUGAAUUGCAGAAUUCAGUGAAUCAUCGAAUCUUUGAACGCACAUUGCGCCCCCUGGUAUUCCGGGGGGCAUGCCUGUCCGAGCGUCAUUACAACCCUCAAGCUCAGCUUGGUAUUGGGCCCCGCCGACCCGGCGGGCCCUAAAGUCAGUGGCGGUGCCGUCCGGCUCCGAGCGUAGUAAUUCUUCUCGCUCUGGAGGUCCGGUCGUGUGCUCGCCAGCAACCCCCAAUUUUUUUCAGGUUGACCUCGGAUCAGGUAGGGAUACCCGCUGAACUUAAGCAUAUCAAUAAGCGAGA
This 327-nucleotide unclassified non-coding RNA is filed under the name soil metagenome. RNAcentral's name for it is "partial contains 5.8S ribosomal RNA, internal transcribed spacer 2, and large subunit ribosomal RNA". The stretch from base 1 to 120 matches the Rfam family "5.8S ribosomal RNA", at positions 35 to 154 of the family's 154-position model. The record is from RNAcentral.